RNAcentral lists this ribosomal RNA (496 nucleotides) under uncultured bacterium. Its description in RNAcentral is "partial 16S ribosomal RNA". It matches the Rfam family "Bacterial small subunit ribosomal RNA", at positions 28 to 507 of the family's 1533-position model. The record is from RNAcentral.
GAUGAACGCUGGCGGCGUGCCUAAUACAUGCAAGUGAGCGAACAGACGAGGAGCUUGCUCCUCUGACGUUAGCGGCGGACGGGUGAGUAACACGUGGAUAACCUACCUAUAAGACUGGGAUAACUUCGGGAAACCGGAGCUAAUACCGGAUAAUAUAUUGAACCGCAUGGUUCAAUAGUGAAAGACGGUUUUGCUGUCACUUAUAGAUGGAUCCGCGCCGCAUUAGCUAGUUGGUAAGGUAACGGCUUACCAAGGCGACGAUGCGUAGCCGACCUGAGAGGGUGAUCGGCCACACUGGAACUGAGACACGGUCCAGACUCCUACGGGAGGCAGCAGUAGGGAAUCUUCCGCAAUGGGCGAAAGCCUGACGGAGCAACGCCGCGUGAGUGAUGAAGGUCUUCGGAUCGUAAAACUCUGUUAUUAGGGAAGAACAAAUGUGUAAGUAACUAUGCACGUCUUGACGGUACCUAAUCAGAAAGCCACGGCUAACUACGUG